UUUAGCCCCGAUUGCAACGGAAAUCCUUUUUUGGGCGCGGCUGGCGCCGCGCCCAAAAAAGAUUGCAGUGCAAAGCGGGAC
Molecule: small RNA, 81 nt
Filed under: uncultured Kaistella sp.
Lineage: Bacteria; Pseudomonadati; Bacteroidota; Flavobacteriia; Flavobacteriales; Weeksellaceae
Description: Flavo-1 RNA
Rfam family: Flavo-1 RNA
Source: RNAcentral